This 492-nucleotide ribosomal RNA is filed under the name uncultured bacterium. RNAcentral describes it as "partial 16S ribosomal RNA". It matches the Rfam family "Bacterial small subunit ribosomal RNA", at positions 29 to 507 of the family's 1533-position model. The record is from RNAcentral.
AGUGAACGCUGGCGGUAGGCCUAACACAUGCGAGUCGAACGGCAGCACAGUAAGAGCUUGCUCUUACGGGUGGCGAGUGGCGGACGGGUGAGGAAUACAUCGGAAUCUACUUUUUCGUGGGGGAUAACGUAGGGAAACUUACGCUAAUACCGCAAACGACCUACGGGUGAAAGCAGGGGAUCUUCGGACCUUGCGCGAUUGAAUGAGCCGAUGUCGGAUUAGCUAGUUGGCGGGGUAAAGGCCCACCAAGGCGACGAUCCGUAGCUGGUCUGAGAGGAUGAUCCGCCACACUGGAACUGAGACACGGUCCAGACUCCUACGGGAGGCAGCAGUGGGGAAUAUUGGACAAUGGGCGCAAGCCUGAUCCAGCCAUACCGCGUGGGUGAAGAAGGCCUUCGGGUUGUAAAGCCCUUUUGUUGGGAAAGAAAAGCAGCAGGUUAAUACCCCGCUGUUCUGACGGUACCCAAAGAAUAAGCACCGGCUAACUUCGUG